UCGAGUGACUUCCACUUUUUGAUUUGCAGUUUUGCUCGCAUUUGAAGCCUCCCUAGGAGAUUCUUCAAGCAAUUUGCCAUUUGCAAGUUCUGUAAGCUUCUCAUCAAGCUUUGGUUUCUUUGAAGAGAUAUUCUCAGUCCAAUGGGGAUCCUUUGUGAGUUUACGUUUAGAUUUUUCUUCAGAAGCAGUGGCUGUUCGAUUUACAGCCUUAACAUCACUGCCACCAGAAUCAAGAUUUAAUUUCUGCACAAUUUUCUUUCUGUCAUCAGAUGCUUUCAAAGAAUCAUCAAGUUUUGCUUGCUUAGAUGGCCUAUCACUAGAUCUACCAGAAUCCAUUGUAGCUUUUACCUUCUUCUCAGCUUGAAACUCAAUGGCAGGAACUUUAA
Molecule: unclassified non-coding RNA, 386 nt
Filed under: Hevea brasiliensis (rubber tree)
Lineage: Eukaryota; Viridiplantae; Streptophyta; Magnoliopsida; Malpighiales; Euphorbiaceae
Source: RNAcentral